CAGUAACUCAGGUAUUGGCCUGGUUCACUCAGACAACAAGAUGAAACUAUUUGAAUAUUGAAUGGUGGAGUUUUGGUUUGAUUGAGCCGUGCCAAUAUCUCAGUUUCUCUU
Non-coding RNA from Nicotiana sylvestris (wood tobacco), 111 nucleotides. The record is from Rfam. Lineage: Eukaryota; Viridiplantae; Streptophyta; Magnoliopsida; Solanales; Solanaceae.